This 435-nucleotide ribosomal RNA is filed under the name uncultured Thermodesulfobium sp. RNAcentral describes it as "bacterial SSU rRNA". It matches the Rfam family "Bacterial small subunit ribosomal RNA", at positions 28 to 477 of the family's 1533-position model. Lineage: Bacteria; Pseudomonadati; Thermodesulfobiota; Thermodesulfobiia; Thermodesulfobiales; Thermodesulfobiaceae. The record is from RNAcentral.
GGCGAACGCUGGCGGCGUGCUUGAACACAUGCAAGUCGAACGGAGAUAGAAGCUUGCUUCUAUCUUAGUGGCAAACGGGUGAGUAACGCGUGGGUAACGUACCCUAAAGUGGGGGAUAACAGGUCGAAAGGUCUGCUAAUACCGCAUACCCUUCAAGUACGAAAGUAUUUGAAGGAAAGGAGUAAUCCGCUUAAGGAGGGGCGCUGCGUCCUAUCAGGUAGUUGGUGAGGUAACGGCUCACCAAGCCUAUGACGGGUAGCUGGUCUGAGAGGAUGAUCAGUCACACUGGAACUGAGACACGGUCCAGACUCCUACGGGAGGCAGCAGUGGGGAAUAUUCCGCAAUGGGCGAAAGCCUGACGGAGCGACGCCGCGUGGAUGAUGAAGACCCUAUGGGUCGUAGAAUCCUUUUGUGAGGGAAGAAGAUCUGACGGUA